Canis lupus familiaris (dog) is the source of this 2300-nucleotide long non-coding RNA. RefSeq lists it as uncharacterized. The record is from RefSeq and is a predicted model, not a curated record. The transcript is spliced from 3 exons. NCBI's taxonomy places the organism in Eukaryota, Metazoa, Chordata, Mammalia, Carnivora, Canidae.
AAGGAAGCCAUUGGAUAAUUGUAGGCAAGAGUAACAAAGCAAUUUGUACUUUUAAAUUAUCACCUUAGCUACUUUGUGGAAAAUGAAAUGGAAAGUGACAAGAUAAUUAGAGACGAGCGUAGUCAGGAGAUUACCGCAGUAUUCCAGGUGAAGAAACGACAGUGAUCUGAACCAAAACUGAAGAGAAAUGGAUGAUAUAUACUUUUUGCAAAAUAGAAUCCAAGUGGCUCGGGUUGGACAGAUUAGGUUCCUGGGAAAGAAAAGGAGGAGUCAGGAGUAGCCCAGUGCUGACGUGUACGGGUGGUGGAUGAGGCCAGUCACUGAUUUGGGAAAAGUCUGUGGAAUAAAAGCUCUUAAAAACAAAAGGGAGGAAGGGAACAAAUCAACAGUCCAGCAUAGUUGUAUUAAUUAUGAAAUAUCUAAGGAAGAGCCAAGUGGAAGUGUGGAAAGUUAGUUAGAGACCCAAGUAUGGAGCUUGGAAGAGGGUUUUAGCUAAUGAGAGGUCAUUAGAGGGGAGUUUUUUUAAUGCCAUCUUACAUAUGUCUAAAUGAUUUACUUUGCAAAUAUGAUCUAGCAUAAUAUAUCAAUCGUUCGAGCUCUUUCCAGUAGGGUGCCCUAUUUUGAGUAUCAUAUGGAACAGGGAGAUAAGGACUCACGGUCAUGGAAAACACAAAUAGAUGUUUUACUUUGUUUCUUUUCUCAAUGAUUGUGUACGUUUAGUUAUUACAUUUCACACAUGGAAAAACUGGGACUUAAAAGUCUAAUUAAAUUUGUCCUAAGAUCCCUCGUAUUGUAAGGGGCAGAACCAGGAUUCAAGCUUAGGUUUUUGUUAUUAAAACCAUUCUCUUUAUACCCCCGUGAUAUAAAUACAUAUUUUUUUUCCUUUUCUUCCUUCGUGAGAGUUAACGGUAACAGUAAAUCGUCUCCAGAAUAGAGGCAGGUACAGUGAUGUUGCUAUAAGGACGGGCCCACCUGGAGCUGGUGAAGUAGCCUCCCUUCCUAGAAGCUAGGACUACCUUGAAGUGCAGCCCCUAAGUGUUUUCUAGGAGCAGCUGAUGAAACGGUGGUAUGAGGUGUGCAAUGGAGAUAUUGUGGAUUUGGUUCCAGAGCACUACAAUAAAGCAGAUAUUGCAGUAAGAAUGUCAUGUGCAAGAUACAAAAGGAGAGACCCAAACCAGAGACAUAUUCAGGAACUCAUCAGUUGUAAUGGAGAAUAUCCCAAUAUUAUCCCAACCAAUAUCUCAAAUUGUUAAUUAUCAGGAAAAAGGAUGACAUUGAGAGACGAGAAAACGAGUGAGAAAUACACCACUAUCUCCCUUUAGAAUGACAACAAAACAAAACAAAACCCUAAGAACCUGACAUUACCAGUAUUUAAGAAGAUGCAGAGCAACAAGAAUUCUCGUUCAUUCCAUCUGUUUUGAAGACAGGCAGUUUCUUAUAAAGCUAAACAUAGUCUUACUAUACAAUCCAACAAUAGCUCUGUUAGCUAUUUGUCCAAUGGAUUUGAAAACGUAGCCACACAACACCUGCAUGCAAAAGUUUAUAGCAGCUUUCCUGAUAACUACCAAGUAUUGGAAGUAAAUAAUUGUCCUUCAGUCAGUGAAUGGAUAAACCAACUGUGGCAUAUCCACAUUAUGGAAUAUUAUUCAGCAAUAAAAAGAAAUGAACUAGGAAGUCACAAAAAGAGAGAGACCUUCAGUGCAUAUUGUUAUAUGGAAGAAACCAAUGUGAAAAGGCUACAUAUUGUAGGAUUCUGAUUCUAUGACAUAUUGGGAUUGGCGAAAGUAUAGAGAUGAUAGAAAGACCAGUUGUUGCCAGCGUUUCAGGGGACUUCGAGAGGGUUGAAUGCAUGAAGCACAGGGGAUUGUUUAGGGCAGGGAAAUAAUUCUGUAUGUGACUCUACUGGUUGACACGUGACUUUAUGCAUUUGUCAAAACCCAUAGAAGUUUACAAUAGGAAGAGUGAACUUUACACGAAUUAAAAAAUAUAUAUAUCUUUGGAUGUCACAGGAUCCCAGGAUUGAAUGCAGAAUGUGAUAAAACAAUUGAACUGUAUAAUAAAUCUAUGAAACCACCUCAUAAGGAGAGGAGUGAGGAAUGGAGGCUGGCUUAAGUAACUUUGAAAUUUAGUAGAAUAUAUAAAAUUAAAGGCAAAGGAAACUGUACACUGUUACUGGAUUCUGUGUGUUAGGAAUUACACCACUUCUCUAUAUUUAUACUGAGGUUGAACAAUUAAGUAAAUGGUUAGUGGAUAAUGGGCCACAUUUCUCGCUGUUGUAGUAGGAGGCUAUAGAUAAACGA